UACGGAGGAUGCGAGCGUUAUCCGGAUUUAUUGGGUUUAAAGGGUGCGUAGGCGGGAUGCCAAGUCAGCGGUAAAAUUGCGGGGCUCAACCUCGUCGAGCCGUUGAAACUGGGUGCCUUGAGUGGGCGAGAAGUACGCGGAAUGCGUGGUGUAGCGGUGAAAUGCAUAGAUAUCACGCAGAACUCCGAUUGCGAAGGCAGCGUACCGGCGCCCAACUGACGCUGAAGCACGAAGGCGUGGGUAUCGAACAGG
Molecule: ribosomal RNA, 252 nt
Filed under: uncultured bacterium
Lineage: Bacteria
Description: partial 16S ribosomal RNA
Rfam family: Bacterial small subunit ribosomal RNA
Source: RNAcentral